GUGAAAUCCAGCAAUUUUUCUUCGCAUUAAGCUCAUGUGAGUUUCAAAUUGGACUUGGAAUUAAAAAGGGUUAUUGAAUGACAUAACAGAUCAAAACAAAUUCAAAUUGCGUAAACAUGUAAGCACACUUAGUGUCGGUCUGCAUAAGAAAAAAUAUCCAUAUCCUUUUACUAGUAACCUACCCACUUAUCACAAGAUAGCAAAUGCCAAAUUACUGCUGUGCACAUUGGACUCUCUGUGCACCACCAGGCAUAUCAUCAUCUUCGUCAUAUGCCUCUUGG
Molecule: unclassified non-coding RNA, 281 nt
Filed under: Hevea brasiliensis (rubber tree)
Lineage: Eukaryota; Viridiplantae; Streptophyta; Magnoliopsida; Malpighiales; Euphorbiaceae
Source: RNAcentral